CCUACUGUAGGCAGCAGUGAGGAAUAUUGGUCCAUGGGCGGAAGCCUGAACCAGCCAAGUAGCGUGCAGGAUGACGGCCCUACGGGUUGUAAACUGCUUUUAUACGUGAAUAACGCGCCUUACGUGUAGGGCUUUGCAUGUACCGUAUGAAUAAGGCCCGGCUAAUUCCUUGCCAGCAGCCGCGGUAAUACGGAAGGUCCGGGCGUUAUCCGGCUUUAUUGGGUUUAAAGGGUGCGGAGGCGGAAGCGACAAGUCAGCGGUAAACUUGCGGGGCUCAACCUCGCCGAGCCGUUGAAACUGCUCUGCUAGAGUGGGCGAGAAGUAUGCGGAAUGCGUGGUGUAGCGGUGAAAUGCAUAGAUAUCACGCAGAACUACGAGUGCGAAGGCAGCAUACCGGCGCCCAACUGACGCUCAUGCACGAAAGCGUGGGUAUCGAACAGGAUUAGAUACCCGUGUAGUC
Molecule: ribosomal RNA, 460 nt
Filed under: uncultured bacterium
Lineage: Bacteria
Description: partial 16S ribosomal RNA
Rfam family: Bacterial small subunit ribosomal RNA
Source: RNAcentral